RNAcentral lists this ribosomal RNA (209 nucleotides) under uncultured bacterium. Its description in RNAcentral is "partial 16S ribosomal RNA". It matches the Rfam family "Bacterial small subunit ribosomal RNA", at positions 568 to 774 of the family's 1533-position model. The record is from RNAcentral.
UGCGUAGGCGGUUUGGUAAGUUGGACGUGAAAGCCCAUGGCUUAACCAUGGAAUUGCGUCCAAAACUGCCAGGCUAGAGUGUCGGAGAGGAAGAUGGAAUUCCAGGUGUAGGGGUGAAAUCCGUAGAUAUCUGGAAGAACACCAGCGGCGAAGGCGAUCUUCUGGCCGACCACUGACGCUGAGUGCACGAAAGCGUGGGGGAGCGAACA